This 1200-nucleotide ribosomal RNA is filed under the name uncultured marine eukaryote. RNAcentral's name for it is "SSU rRNA". It matches the Rfam family "Eukaryotic small subunit ribosomal RNA", at positions 577 to 1807 of the family's 1831-position model. The record is from RNAcentral.
CGGUAAUUCCAGCUCCAAUAGCGUAUAUUAAAGUUGUUGCAGUUAAAAAGCUCGUAGUUGGAUUUCUGCUAACGUUGUUGCGUGGUUCCAACUUUGGAACUCGCACGCGUAAGCAUCUUCUCGGAGACCCGGGUUCCCUUCAGUGGGCGCUUUGGUGUGCUCCGGGAUCUUUACUUUGAAAAAAUUAGAGUGUUCAAAGCAGGCCGUCGCUUGAAUACAUUAGCAUGGAAUAAUAGAAUAGGACUUGGGUUCUGUUUUGUUGGUUUAUAGGACCGAGGUAAUGAUUAAUAGGGAUAGUUGGGGGCAUUAGUAUUUUAUUGUCAGAGGUGAAAUUCUUGGAUUUAUGAAAGACUAACAUCUGCGAAAGCAUUUGCCAAGGAUGUUUUCAUUAAUCAAGAACGAAAGUUAGGGGAUCGAAGACGAUCAGAUACCGUCGUAGUCUUAACCAUAAACUAUGCCGACUAGGGAUCGGUGGGUUUAUUUUAGCAGGCCCAUCGGCACCUUAUGGGAAACCAAAGUUUUUGGGUUCUGGGGGGAGUAUGGUCGCAAGGCUGAAACUUAAAGGAAUUGACGGAAGGGCACCACCAGGAGUGGAGCCUGCGGCUUAAUUUGACCCAACACGGGAAAACUCACCAGGUCCAGACAUAGGAAGGAUUGACAGAUUGAGAGCUCUUUCUUGAUUCUAUGGUUGGUGGUGCAUGGCCGUUCUUAGUUGGUGGAGUGAUUUGUCUGGUUAAUUCCGUUAACGAACGAGACCUUAACCUGCUAAAUAGUUACGCGAUCCUCGGAUCGCGGGAAUACUUCUUAGAGGGACUAUCGACGUUUAGUCGGUGGAAGUUUGAGGCAAUAACAGGUCUGUGAUGCCCUUAGAUGUUCUGGGCUGCACGCGCGCUACACUGACGAGAGCAACGAGUUAUCCUACUCCGGAAGGAGCGGGCAAUCUUUUGAAAUCUCGUCGUGCUGGGGAUAGAUCUUUGCAAUUAUCGAUCUUGAACGAGGAAUUCCUAGUAAGCGCAAUUCAUCAAAUUGCGUUGAUUACGUCCCUGCCCUUUGUACACACCGCCCGUCGCUACUACCGAUUGAAUGGUUUAGUGAGGCCUCGGGAUUGAUAAGUGGGCGCUGGCAACAGCUCCCUAUUGUCGAGAACUUGGUCAAACUUGAUCAUUUAGAGGAAGUAAAAGUCGUAACAAGGAAGCCGUA